GACGAACGCUGGCGGCGUGCUUAACACAUGCAAGUCGAACGGAAAGGCCUGCUUUCCCUUGUGGAUUGCGGGUACUCGAGUGGCGAACGGGUGAGUAACACGUGAGUGAUCUGCCCCCAACUUGGGUAUAAGCCUGGGAAACUGGGUCUAAUUCCCGAUAGGACUGCAGGGUGGUGCCUGUGGUGGAAAACGAUUUUCUAGUGGUUGGGGAUGAGCUCGCGGCCUAUCAGCUUGUUGGUGGGGUAAUGGCCUACCAAGGCGGCGACGGGUAGCCGGCCUGAGAGGGUGGGCCGGCGCGGUGGGACUGAGACACGGGGCAGGCGACACGGCGAAGCAGCAGUGGGGAAGAAGGCGCGAUGAGCAGAAGGCUGAGGCAGGGAGGCUGAGUGAGGGAUGCCGGGCUUGGGGUUAUAGCCUCCUUUCGGCCGCGAGGAAGCCACAUGGUUGGAGGGGUGGUGACGGUAGUGGUAGAAGAAGCACCGGCUAACUACGUG
Molecule: ribosomal RNA, 494 nt
Filed under: uncultured bacterium
Lineage: Bacteria
Description: partial 16S ribosomal RNA
Rfam family: Bacterial small subunit ribosomal RNA
Source: RNAcentral